This 468-nucleotide ribosomal RNA is filed under the name uncultured bacterium. RNAcentral describes it as "partial 16S ribosomal RNA". It matches the Rfam family "Bacterial small subunit ribosomal RNA", at positions 28 to 507 of the family's 1533-position model. The record is from RNAcentral.
GACGAACGCUGGCGGCGUGCUUAACACAUGCAAGUCGAACGGAAAGGCCCUGCUUUUGUGGGGUGCUCGAGUGGCGAACGGGUGAGUAACACGUGAGUAACCUGCCCUUGACUUUGGGAUAACUUCAGGAAACUGGGGCUAAUACCGGAUAGGAGCUCCUGCUGCAUGGUGGGGGUUGGAAAGUUUCGGCGGUUGGGGAUGGACGCGCGGCUUAUCAGCUUGUUGGUGGGGUAGUGGCUUACCAAGGCUUUGACGGGUAGCCGGCCUGAGAGGGUGACCGGCCACAUUGGGACUGAGAGACGGCCCAGAGUCCAACGGGAGGCAGCAGUGGGGAAUAUGGCACAAUGGGCGGAAGCCUGAUGCAGCAACGCCGCGUGCGGGAUGACGGCCUUCGGGUUGUAAACCGCUUUCGCCUGUGACGAAGCGUGAGUGACGGUAAUGGGUAAAGAAGCACCGGCUAACUACGUG